UGUGGUUAUGAUAAUGUUGUGGUUAGGGUUAAGAUAAGGUUGUGGUUAUGAUAAUGUUGUGGUUAGGGUUAAGAUAAGGUUGUGGUUAUGAUAAUGUUGUGGUUAGGGUUAAGAUAAGGUUGUGGUUAUGGUAAUGUUGUGGUUAGGGUUAAGAUAAGGUUGUGGUUAUGAUAAUGUUGUGGUUAGGGUUAAGAUAAGGUUGUGGUUAUGGUUAAGAUAAGGUUGUGGUUAUGGUAAUGUUGUAGUUAGGGUUAAGAUAAGGUUGUGUUUAUGGUUAAGAUAAGGUUGUGGUUAUGGUAAUGUUGUGGUUAGGGUUAAGAUAAUGCUGUGGUAAUGGUUAAUAUAAGGUUAUGGUUAUGGUAAUGUUGUGGUUACGGUUAAGGUAAGGUUGUGGUUAUGG
This is a long non-coding RNA of Oncorhynchus keta (chum salmon), 400 nucleotides long. RefSeq lists it as uncharacterized. The transcript is spliced from 3 exons. NCBI's taxonomy places the organism in Eukaryota, Metazoa, Chordata, Actinopteri, Salmoniformes, Salmonidae. The record is from RefSeq and is a predicted model, not a curated record.